Molecule: ribosomal RNA, 1372 nt
Filed under: Salmonella enterica subsp. enterica serovar Tennessee
Lineage: Bacteria; Pseudomonadati; Pseudomonadota; Gammaproteobacteria; Enterobacterales; Enterobacteriaceae
Description: partial 23S ribosomal RNA
Rfam family: Bacterial large subunit ribosomal RNA
Source: RNAcentral
AGCAACAAAUGCCCUGCUUCCAGGAAAAGCCUCUAAGCAUCAGGUAACAUCAAAUCGUACCCCAAACCGACACAGGUGGUCAGGUAGAGAAUACCAAGGCGCUUGAGAGAACUCGGGUGAAGGAACUAGGCAAAAUGGUGCCGUAACUUCGGGAGAAGGCACGCUGACAUGUAGGUGAAGUGAUUUACUCAUGGAGCUGAAGUCAGUCGAAGAUACCAGCUGGCUGCAACUGUUUAUUAAAAACACAGCACUGUGCAAACACGAAAGUGGACGUAUACGGUGUGACGCCUGCCCGGUGCCGGAAGGUUAAUUGAUGGGGUCAGCGCAAGCGAAGCUCCUGAUCGAAGCCCCGGUAAACGGCGGCCGUAACUAUAACGGUCCUAAGGUAGCGAAAUUCCUUGUCGGGUAAGUUCCGACCUGCACGAAUGGCGUAAUGAUGGCCAGGCUGUCUCCACCCGAGACUCAGUGAAAUUGAACUCGCUGUGAAGAUGCAGUGUACCCGCGGCAAGACGGAAAGACCCCGUGAACCUUUACUAUAGCUUGACACUGAACAUUGAGCCUUGAUGUGUAGGAUAGGUGGGAGGCUUUGAAGUGUGGACGCCAGUCUGCAUGGAGCCGACCUUGAAAUACCACCCUUUAAUGUUUGAUGUUCUAACGUGGACCCGUUAUCCGGGUUGCGGACAGUGUCUGGUGGGUAGUUUGACUGGGGCGGUCUCCUCCUAAAGAGUAACGGAGGAGCACGAAGGUUGGCUAAUCCUGGUCGGACAUCAGGAGGUUAGUGCAAUGGCAUAAGCCAGCUUGACUGCGAGCGUGACGGCGCGAGCAGGUGCGAAAGCAGGUCAUAGUGAUCCGGUGGUUCUGAAUGGAAGGGCCAUCGCUCAACGGAUAAAAGGUACUCCGGGGAUAACAGGCUGAUACCGCCCAAGAGUUCAUAUCGACGGCGGUGUUUGGCACCUCGAUGUCGGCUCAUCACAUCCUGGGGCUGAAGUAGGUCCCAAGGGUAUGGCUGUUCGCCAUUUAAAGUGGUACGCGAGCUGGGUUUAGAACGUCGUGAGACAGUUCGGUCCCUAUCUGCCGUGGGCGCUGGAGAACUGAGGGGGGCUGCUCCUAGUACGAGAGGACCGGAGUGGACGCAUCACUGGUGUUCGGGUUGUCAUGCCAAUGGCACUGCCCGGUAGCUAAAUGCGGAAGAGAUAAGUGCUGAAAGCAUCUAAGCACGAAACUUGCCCCGAGAUGAGUUCUCCCUGAGACUUAGAGUCUCCUGAAGGAACGUUGAAGACGACGACGUUGAUAGGCCGGGUGUGUAAGCGCAGCGAUGCGUUGAGCUAACCGGUACUAAUGAACCGUGAGGCUUAACCUUACAACGCCGAAG